GACGAACGCUGGCGGCGUGCCUAAUACAUGCAAGUCGAGCGAAGUUUUUCUGGUGCUUGCACUAGAAAAACUUAGCGGCGAACGGGUGAGUAACACGUAAAGAACCUGCCUCAUAGACUGGGACAACUAUUGGAAACGAUAGCUAAUACCGGAUAACAGUAUUUCUCGCAUGAGAGAUAUUUAAAAGUUGGUUAUGCUAACACUAUGAGAUGGCUUUGCGGUGCAUUAGCUAGUUGGUGGGGUAAAGGCCCACCAAGGCGACGAUGCAUAGCCGACCUGAGAGGGUGAUCGGCCACACUGGGACUGAGACACGGCCCAGACUCCUACGGGAGGCAGCAGUAGGGAAUCUUCCGCAAUGGGCGAAAGCCUGACAGAGCAGCGCCGAGUGAGUGAAGAAGGAUUUCGGUUCGUAAAGGUCUGUUGUUAGGGAAGAAUGGAUAUGUAGUAACUAUACAUGUAAGGGACGGUACCUAACCAGAAAGCCACAGCUAACUACGUG
This 499-nucleotide ribosomal RNA is filed under the name uncultured bacterium. Its description in RNAcentral is "partial 16S ribosomal RNA". It matches the Rfam family "Bacterial small subunit ribosomal RNA", at positions 28 to 507 of the family's 1533-position model. The record is from RNAcentral.